Molecule: ribosomal RNA, 484 nt
Filed under: uncultured bacterium
Lineage: Bacteria
Description: partial 16S ribosomal RNA
Rfam family: Bacterial small subunit ribosomal RNA
Source: RNAcentral
AUUGAACGCUGGCGGCAUGCUUUACACAUGCAAGUCGAACGGCAGCGCGGGCUUCGGCCUGGCGGCGAGUGGCGAACGGGUGAGUAAUACAUCGGAACGUGCGUAGUAGUGGGGGAUAGCUCGGUGAAAGCCGGAUUAAUACCGCAUACGAACUGCGGGUGCAAGAGGAGGAUACUCGGACCCCUCGCUCUUGGAGCGGCCGAUGGCAGAUUAGCUAGUUGGUGGGGUAAAGGCAUACCAAGGCGAAGAUAUGUAGCUGGUCUGAGAGGACGACCAGCCACACGGGGAGUGAGACACGGCCCAGACUCCGACAGGAGGCAGCAGUGGGGAAUUUUGGACAAUGGGCGAAUGCCUGAUCCAGCAAUGCCGCGUGUGUGAUGAAGGCCUGCGGGUUGUAAAGCACUUUUGGCGGGAACGAAAAGGACUGUGCCAAGACCACGGUUCGAUGACGGUACCCGCAGAAUAAGCACCGGCUAACUACGUG